Molecule: non-coding RNA, 72 nt
Organism: Poecilia reticulata (guppy)
Lineage: Eukaryota; Metazoa; Chordata; Actinopteri; Cyprinodontiformes; Poeciliidae
Source: Ensembl
AUCUUCCUAGUAUAAAUGAUAAUAUAAGUGACUUCCAAUCACAUGACCUUGGUUAAAAUCCAAGGGAAGAUA